AUUGAACGCUGGCGGCAUGCCUUACACAUGCAAGUCGAACGGCCGCACGUGUGCUUGCACCUGGUGGCGAGUGGCUAACGGGUGAGUAAUACAUCGGAACAUGUCCUGUAGUGGGGGAUAGCCCGGCGAAAGCCGGAUUAAUACCGCAUACGAUCUACGGCUGAAAGCGGGGGCCCUUCGCUCCUCGCGCUAUAGGGUUGGCCGAUGGCUGAUUAGCUAGUUGGUGGGGUAAAGGCCUACCAAGGCGACGAUCAGUAGCUGGUCUGAGAGGACGACCAGCUACACUGGGACUGAGACACGGCCCAGACUCCUACGGGAGGCAGCAGUGGGGAAUUUUGGACAAUGGGCGAAAGCCUGAUCAAGCAAUGCCGCGUGUGUGAAGAAGGCCUUCGGGUUGUAAAGCACUUUUGUCCGGAAAGAAAUACUUGGCCCUAAUACGGUCGGGGGAUGACGGUACCGGAAGAAUAAGCACCGGCUAACUACGUG
Molecule: ribosomal RNA, 486 nt
Filed under: uncultured bacterium
Lineage: Bacteria
Description: partial 16S ribosomal RNA
Rfam family: Bacterial small subunit ribosomal RNA
Source: RNAcentral